This 549-nucleotide ribosomal RNA is filed under the name uncultured bacterium. RNAcentral's name for it is "partial 16S ribosomal RNA". It matches the Rfam family "Bacterial small subunit ribosomal RNA", at positions 355 to 914 of the family's 1533-position model. The record is from RNAcentral.
UGGGGAAUAUUGCACAAUGGGCGAAAGCCUGAUGCAGCGACGCCGCGUGCGGGAUGAAGGCCUUCGGGUUGUAAACCGCUUUUAAUUGGGAGCAAGCGAGAGUGAGUGUACCUUUUGAAUAAGCACCGGCUAACUACGUGCCAGCAGCCGCGGUAAUACGUAGGGUGCAAGCGUUAUCCGGAAUUAUUGGGCGUAAAGAGCUCGUAGGCGGUUUGUCACGCCUGGUGUGAAAGUCCAUCGCUUAACGGUGGAUCUGCGCCGGGUACGGGCAGGCUAGAGUGCAGUAGGGGAGAUUGGAAUUCCCGGUGUAACGGUGGAAUGUGUAGAUAUCGGGAAGAACACCAAUGGCGAAGGCAGAUCUCUGGGCUGUUACUGACGCUGAGGAGCGAAAGCAUGGGGAGCGAACAGGAUUAGAUACCCUGGUAGUCCAUGCCGUAAACGGUGGAUGCUGGAUGUGGGGCCCUUCCACGGGCUCCGUGUCGGAGCUAACGCGUUAAGCAUCCCGCCUGGGGAGUACGGCCGCAAGGCUAAAACUCUAAGUGAAUUGAC